AUUGAACGCUGGCGGCAUGCCUUACACAUGCAAGUCGAACGGCAGCACGGGAGCAAUCCUGGUGGCGAGUGGCGAACGGGUGAGUAAUAUAUCGGAACGUGCCCAGUCGUGGGGGAUAACGCAGCGAAAGCUGUGCUAAUACCGCAUACGAUCUACGGAUGAAAGCGGGGGAUCGCAAGAACUCGCGCGAUUGGAGCGGCCGAUAUCAGAUUAGCUAGUUGGUGAGGUAAAGGCUCACCAAGGCGACGAUCUGUAGCUGGUCUGAGAGGACGACCAGCCACACUGGACCUGAGACACGGUCCAGACUCCUACGGGAGGCAGCAGUGGGGAAUUUUGGACAAUGGGCGAAAGCCUGAUCCAGCAAUGCCGCGUGCAGGAUGAAGGCCUUCGGGUUGUAAACUGCUUUUGUACGGAACGAAACGGUGAGCUCUAAUACAGUUUGCUAAUGACGGUACCGUAAGAAUAAGCACCGGCUAACUACGUGCCAGCCGCCGCAGUAA
This 500-nucleotide ribosomal RNA is filed under the name uncultured bacterium. RNAcentral's name for it is "partial 16S ribosomal RNA". It matches the Rfam family "Bacterial small subunit ribosomal RNA", at positions 30 to 523 of the family's 1533-position model. The record is from RNAcentral.